This 465-nucleotide ribosomal RNA is filed under the name uncultured bacterium. RNAcentral's name for it is "partial 16S ribosomal RNA". It matches the Rfam family "Bacterial small subunit ribosomal RNA", at positions 339 to 795 of the family's 1533-position model. The record is from RNAcentral.
CUACGGGUGGCACCAGUGGGGAAUAUUGGACAAUGGGGGAAACCCUGAUCCAGCAAUGCCGCGUGUGUGAAGAAGGCCUGCGGGUUGUAAAGCACUUUCGGUUGGGAGGACUGCUUCUAGUACUAAUAUUGUUGGAAGUUGACGUUACCUUCAGAAGAAGCACCGGCUAACUCCGUGCCAGCAGCCGCGGUAAUACGGAGGGUGCAAGCGUUAAUCGGAAUUACUGGGCGUAAAGCGCGCGUAGGCGGCUAGAUCAGUCGGGUGUGAAAGCCCGGGGCUUAACCUGGGAACUGCAUCCGAUACUGUCUAGCUUGAGUACAGGAGAGGAGAGUGGAAUUCCACAUGUAGCGGUGAAAUGCGUAGAUAUGUGGAGGAACACCAAUGGCGAAGGCAGCUCUCUGGCCUGAUACUGACGCUGAGGUGUGAAAGCGUGGGGAGCAAACAGGAUUAGAUACCCCCGUAGUC